CAACCCUCAAGCACUGCUUGGCGUUGGCGGAUUGCGUGCCCUCGCGGCGCUGCAACCGCCCAAAUACAGUGGCGGUCCCGCUGCGGCUCCCUUUGCGUAGUAACUCACCUCGCACUGGACCGGGCGGCGGCUUGCCGUAAAACCCCAACUCAGAAA
Molecule: unclassified non-coding RNA, 156 nt
Filed under: uncultured Hypocreales
Lineage: Eukaryota; Fungi; Ascomycota; Sordariomycetes; Hypocreales
Description: sequence contains ITS2
Source: RNAcentral